AGAUUUCUGUCUGCCUCUCAUUGGCAAACAUGACAUUUCAGCAAUUUCUCUAAAGAGGAAUGACUGGGGGGUAUGUACAGCAGGCAUCAUGUAAGAAAAACUCACACCUCACGACAUAUUUGUUUGAUUUAUUCAGCAGACUUCAGCAAAGGAAAGAUGUGAAAGCAACCCUUGAUUGUUGAUUUUUUGUUCAUUCUGAAAAUCACAUCGCCAGAUCCAACACCUUUUUAUCCCAAUCACCAGUACAAGCCACCCGUAUCAGUGUACACUGUGGCUGACCGAUCCAUAGUGAUGCUUUGAGCUCUGGUAGAUGUGAUUAUG
Molecule: long non-coding RNA, 321 nt
Filed under: Homo sapiens (human)
Lineage: Eukaryota; Metazoa; Chordata; Mammalia; Primates; Hominidae
Description: HSALNT0320919
Source: RNAcentral